This 21-nucleotide microRNA is filed under the name Monodelphis domestica (gray short-tailed opossum). RNAcentral's name for it is "mdo-miR-7386j-3p". Lineage: Eukaryota; Metazoa; Chordata; Mammalia; Didelphimorphia; Didelphidae. The record is from miRBase by way of RNAcentral.
AAUAAACACCUUAUUCUUGGG